This 497-nucleotide ribosomal RNA is filed under the name uncultured bacterium. RNAcentral describes it as "partial 16S ribosomal RNA". It matches the Rfam family "Bacterial small subunit ribosomal RNA", at positions 28 to 507 of the family's 1533-position model. The record is from RNAcentral.
GAUGAACGCUGGCGGCGUGCCUAAUACAUGCAAGUCGAGCGAACAGACGAGGAGCUUGCUCCUCUGACGUUAGCGACGGACGGGUGAUUAACACGUAGAUAACCUACCUAUAAGACUGGGAUAACUUCGGGAAACCGGAUCUAAUACCGGAUAAUAUAUUGAACCGCAGGGUUCAAUAGUGAAAGACGGUUUUGCUCUCACGUAUAGAGGGAUCCGCGCCGCAUUAGCUAGUUGGUAAGGUAACGGCUUACCAAGGCGACGAUGCGUAGCCGACCUGAGAGGGUGAUCGGCCACACUGGAACUGAGACACGGUCCAGACUCCUACGGGAGGCAGCAGUAGGGAAUUUUGCGCAAUGGGCGAAAGCCUGACGGAGCAACGCCGCGUGAGUGAUGAAGGUCUUCGGAUCGUAAAACUCUGUUAUUAGGGAAGAACAAAUGUGUAAUUAACCAUGCACGUCUUGACGGUACCUAAUCAGAAAGCAACGGCUAACUACGUG